This 253-nucleotide ribosomal RNA is filed under the name uncultured bacterium. Its description in RNAcentral is "partial 16S ribosomal RNA". It matches the Rfam family "Bacterial small subunit ribosomal RNA", at positions 524 to 776 of the family's 1533-position model. The record is from RNAcentral.
UACGGGGGGGGCAAGCGUUGUUCGGAAUUACUGGGCGUAAAGGGCUCGUAGGCGGCCAACUAAGUCGGACGUGAAAUCCCUCAGCUUAACUGGGGAACUGCGUCCGAUACUGGAUGGCUUGGAUUCGGGAGAGGGAUGCGGAAUUCCAGGUGUAGCGGUGAAAUGCGUAGAUAUCUGGAGGAACACCGGUGGCGAAGGCGGCAUCCUGGACCGGCAUUGACGCUGAUGAGCGAAAGCUAGGGGAGCAAACGGG